Molecule: long non-coding RNA, 1394 nt
Filed under: Felis catus (domestic cat)
Lineage: Eukaryota; Metazoa; Chordata; Mammalia; Carnivora; Felidae
Description: lncRNA (ENSFCAG00000041057.2)
Source: RNAcentral
UUCAAAUUUCUCAAGUUGUCCUCAGAGCCUGUGGCAGCUGCUGUUUUUACAGUCGGGAUCUCAUCGAGGGGCAAGCAUUGCAUUGGAUUACGAUGGUCACAUUGAAUCUAGAACAUCUAGGGGCUAUAAAAGAACGUGGGCAGAAAAAACAGGCCACCCACCAAAGGGUAAAUUACUGCACGAUCAAGUCAAGAAGCGAGGGCAGAGGCCUAUGGGAAAUGUAGUCCAAUCCAGACGGAUCACCGCGCAGCACUCUGGGAACGGGUCUUCUUCUGCGCAAGUGCCGUCCUAGCCUCGCCGCGUUUUUACGCAUCUGCAUCUUCCCGCGGAGCAGGUCCCACAACUUUCUCGGUCAGGCAGGCUGGAAGGAGCACACCUGGGGGUCCAACCGCCCUAUUCCUGGAGGGAGCCUCCUCUCCUUCUGGGAUGCUGAGACUUUGUGGAAGUGAAUUUAGAAGCCGCCGGGCAGGCCAGACCCUUCACGGUCUCCCGAGAGGUGCAGAAAAUGAACACAUCUCAGCUGCACGUCGUUUCCCUGCACGUACCGUCUUUAGCCAAAGACUCAAGACUCAAAAACUCAUGGUCUCUUUCAGUCAGCUCUGUCUCCAGGAUCUUACACCACAAAUGGGAGUUGUGUUGGCCUCUGAAUUUCUGGUUCUGUCUCCUCAACUUCCUGAGACCUCUGCGUUCUGUUUUGGUACCAUAUUCUGAUCUGAAACUGCGUUAUUUCUUCUUUUUCUGGGAUCCUUACCCAGCAGUGCCUGUUACCUGGUACUGCUCCAUCAUGGGAGAAGGGGAAACCUCAUGCCGUAGAUUCCUGCUAAGUUCAGUAUUAUGUGUGCUCGUGAUUUAGCUCAAGGAGAUUCAUACUUUCUGAACAUCAGGGGGGGGACAAAUGUUUUUGUUGUCUACUCUGCAAGGAAAGGUUCAAAUGAGCACCUUUGUUGUGCCAUCCCUGAAGAUGCGUCUUCUUUCACAUUCAGAAUCCUAGAAGCCCAUGCAGCAGGCCCAAGUCUUAAAUUAUUUCCCACUGACAGGGUAUCGCUAUACAAAACCAGGAGUGAUCUUAAGGCUGGAGCAAGCAGAAGAUCUAUGCUCAUUAGAAAAGAAUUUCUAACCAGGAGAUCUUCAGAAGACUGCCAAGAUGAUAACCUCUUAGAGAAGAGCCGACAAAUCCAAGACAGACAUUUGUGGCAAGUUUUAUUUACUCAUUUUCAGAGAACUGACACAGGAGGGAAAAGUUUCGACCAGGGGUCACACACAAGAAGAACAAACCAGAGAAAUUAGGCGGAGGUGACCCCCUUUGAAUGUGGACGAAACUUCAGCCAUAAUUCAGCUAACACACCAGAGAAAUUCUGUGAUUAUAAUAAACAUAGGGGAGCCCUCUGCCCCCA